RNAcentral lists this ribosomal RNA (503 nucleotides) under uncultured bacterium. RNAcentral's name for it is "partial 16S ribosomal RNA". It matches the Rfam family "Bacterial small subunit ribosomal RNA", at positions 29 to 507 of the family's 1533-position model. The record is from RNAcentral.
AACGAACGCUGGCGGCGUGCCUAACACAUGCAAGUCGAACGAGAAAGGGGCUUCGGCUCCGAGUAAAGUGGCGCACGGGUGAGUAACACGUGGGUAACCUGCCUCUAAGAUUGGGAUAACUCGUCGAAAGAUGAGCUAAUACCGAAUAAGACCACAGUUCCCGCGGGAACAGGGGUCAAAGGUAGCCUCUGCUUGCAAGCUAUCACUUCGAGAUGGGCCUGCGCACCAUUAGCUAGUUGGUAGGGUAACGGCCUACCAAGGCAAAGAUGGUUAGCUGGUCUGAGAGGAUGAUCAGCCACACUGGAACGGAGACACGGUCCAGACGCCUACGGGAGGCAGCAGUGGGGAAUAUUGCGCAAGGGGCGAAAGCUUGACGCAGCAACGCCGCGUGAGGGAUGAAGGCCUUCGGGUCGUAAAGCUCUGUCGGGAGGAACGAAUGCUCCUGAGGUUAACAGCCUCGGGAGGUGACGGUACCUGCAAAGGAAGCACCGGCUAACUCUGUG